This 298-nucleotide ribosomal RNA is filed under the name uncultured bacterium. RNAcentral's name for it is "partial 16S ribosomal RNA". It matches the Rfam family "Bacterial small subunit ribosomal RNA", at positions 1 to 292 of the family's 1533-position model. The record is from RNAcentral.
AAUUCGAUUGAGUUUGAUCAUGGCUCAGAUUGAACGCUGGCGGCAUGCCUAACACAUGCAAGUUGAACGGCAGCACAGCUUAAGCUUGCUUAAGUGGGUGGCGAGUGGCGGACGGGUGAGUAAUGCAUCGGGACCUACCUGAACGUGGGGGAUAACGUAGGGAAACUUACGCUAAUACCGCAUACGUCCUACGGGAGAAAGCGGGGGACCUUCGGGCCUCGCGCGGUCAGACGGACCGAUGUUCGAUUAGCUAGUUGGUAAGGUAAUGGCUUACCAAGGCGACGAUCGAUAGCUGGUC